This 26-nucleotide non-coding RNA is filed under the name Xenopus tropicalis (tropical clawed frog). RNAcentral also lists the same sequence under 5 other names. The record is from RNAcentral. Lineage: Eukaryota; Metazoa; Chordata; Amphibia; Anura; Pipidae.
CAAGUGUAGUAUCUGUUCUUAUCAGU